AUGAAUCUGCCACCGGGCAGAGGCAGUGCAUUAUGCGCUCGCAAACACAUCGUUAGGUCUUUGAAGAUGUGUUUACGGGUGCGUUUUUUUU
RNAcentral lists this non-coding RNA (91 nucleotides) under unclassified sequences. The record is from RNAcentral.